RNAcentral lists this long non-coding RNA (302 nucleotides) under Mytilus galloprovincialis (Mediterranean mussel). The record is from RNAcentral. Lineage: Eukaryota; Metazoa; Mollusca; Bivalvia; Mytilida; Mytilidae.
GACAAUUUUUCACAAUUUGUUCAUCAUAUUUGCUAACUUUAAAAAAUCUUCUCCUCUAAAACUACUAAACCAAAUUCAACCAAACUUCAACUGAAUGAUCAGUAGGGUGUAUAAAAUAAAGUUUGUGCUUUAUUUUUUAUUUCAUCAAAAAACAUGGCCGUCAUGGCUAAAAAUAGAACACAGGGUAAAAUGCAGUUUUUGGCUUAUAUCUCAAAAACUCCAGCAUUUAGAGCAAAUAAGACAAGAAGUUAAAGUAUUUAUUAGGUCAAGGUCUACCUGUCCUGAAAUUUUCAACCGAAUUG